This 844-nucleotide long non-coding RNA is filed under the name Fukomys damarensis (Damara mole-rat). Its description in RNAcentral is "lncRNA (ENSFDAG00000033027.1)". The record is from RNAcentral. Lineage: Eukaryota; Metazoa; Chordata; Mammalia; Rodentia; Bathyergidae.
AGGCUCUUUGCUGCUUUCUUCUGCUCUCGGAAAAGCUGCCCCUCUAAUCACCAGAGUUGGCACAGGUUGGCUCGCUUCCUUGUCUCCCUACAGACAGUGCCUCUCCUCUCUCAAGGCCCAAAAUAGAGAAAGUCCUGCGUUAGUGUCAAACAGAAAACCUCUUCUCAGGGAAAGGUGGGAGGGCAGGGGAAGUUCAUGACAAAGUGGCCCUUUCCCAACCUCCGAGCCAGCUUUCUGUGUUAGAAGAAAAUGUGAGAAACUGGAGGGGAGGCAGAGGAAAUUUUUAUCAUCGGAUUUGUGCAAGCAGCAAAGAGGUUGUCUGAACCUGAAAACAAGGAGGAUCAAACAAGGAGGGAGUUGGUGAGUUGGCUUAGCAACCAGUACAAGCUCCGGGGGAUGGCGAGAGAAAGACUUGUUUCUUCAGGGAGACACCCUGCACCGUUAGGCACCUACUGCAUACAGCCCUGCCCUCUGGAGGAGGCUGGUGCCCUCCUGAGAUGGGUACCUGCAGGAAGCUGGAGGCCAGGCCGCCCCCGUCACUCUCCCAGCAGGUGGAGGCCCAUCCUGCCUGUCCUCAGAGAGGAGCAACUGCAGAGGAAUUUCCUCUGAUAAUACUCACAGAUUCUUAUACGGCAAGUUUUAAAAAAUUAAUUUUAUCGGUACAAUUUGCAGAUACAUAAUGAUCACAUUUAUCACAGCCGUUUGUCCCUGUACGUGAUAUAUCUUGAGUCUUCUUUUUUUCCCAUUCUCUUCCUCUCCCUUCAACCCUUCUCUCUUUAUUUACAAAUGCUUUGUUUCCAUUUUUUCCCUUUCAUUCUUUUUUUUCCUUUUCACUUCCCUUUCC